Molecule: long non-coding RNA, 723 nt
Organism: Patella vulgata (common limpet)
Lineage: Eukaryota; Metazoa; Mollusca; Gastropoda; Patellidae
Exons: 3
Source: RefSeq, a predicted model, not a curated record
UACGUUUUCUUGUUGUAACCGGUAAACCACCUCCGGUUGACUUAUUUUUAAUCCGUUUGGCGAGUCAUGGAGCUGGUGUAUAAAAGGCGAGAUAUUGAAGGUUUUCAUCAAUCCCGAGUGUAGUAGGUUCACAUCGAGUACGUUUUGUUUACUAAGUAAUAGGAAAGACGUAAAUAUGUCCUGGUUCCUUGGUUGGUUUUUACGUCUGUUGGGGUUUACCACAGUAAUCCAAUCAACUAUUAACUUGGAGUGGAUAGUAAAAGCACAAAAUGGUAAUAUACCAUCUACGGCUAUCCAAAUCAAACCCACUAGGAGUUCUGUAUUUUAUUUCUGCGAGGUUACCACUGUGGAGGGACAAAAAAUACUUGGAACACUAAAAUCAACAGACAAUUCCUGUAAAUACGAGGCAAACGGUAGUGUUACAAGCUCAACAGAGUUCAGCGUUCUCAGUAACCCUAAUGGAGCCAAUAUAAAAUAUACAUACAGGACAUCGAAACAGAUUCCUCCUACUGGUGCCGUUAAAUGUAAUCAAGGCAGUUACUGUUUCUUAGGCAUAGGUGUUUAUAAUGACGGAAUAUGUGAGGAACUCCCCGGAAAAAUCGUCGCCCCUAAAAGUCAAUUGAUUAUGACGACUGCCAAUAACGAAGUUAAAACAUGUGCGUCCAUACUGUACUUGACAAAAAACUGAUUUAAUUUGGUAUAAACAAGGUGUAUAUAUUAAAA